UGGGGAAUAUUGGACAAUGGGCGAAAGCCUGAUCCAGCCAUGCCGCGUGUGUGAAGAAGGUCUUCGGAUUGUAAAGCACUUUAAGUUGGGAGGAAGGGCAGUAAGCGAAUACCUUGCUGUUUUGACGUUACCGACAGAAUAAGCACCGGCUAACUCUGUGCCAGCAGCCGCGGUAAUACAGAGGGUGCAAGCGUUAAUCGGAAUUACUGGGCGUAAAGCGCGCGUAGGUGGUUCGUUAAGUUGAAUGUGAAAGCCCCGGGCUCAACCUUGGAACUGCAUCCAAAACUGGCGAGCUAGAGUAGGGCAGAGGGUGGUGGAAUUUCCUGUGUAGCGGUGAAAUGCGUAAAUAUAGGAAGGAACACCAGUGGCGAAGGCGACCGCCUGGGCUCAUACUGACACUGAGGUGCGAAAGCGUGGGGAGCAAACAGG
This 429-nucleotide ribosomal RNA is filed under the name Pseudomonadota bacterium. RNAcentral's name for it is "Proteobacteria bacterium partial 16S ribosomal RNA". It matches the Rfam family "Bacterial small subunit ribosomal RNA", at positions 355 to 776 of the family's 1533-position model. The record is from RNAcentral. Lineage: Bacteria; Pseudomonadati; Pseudomonadota.